Molecule: ribosomal RNA, 467 nt
Filed under: uncultured bacterium
Lineage: Bacteria
Description: partial 16S ribosomal RNA
Rfam family: Bacterial small subunit ribosomal RNA
Source: RNAcentral
GACGAACGCUGGCGGCGUGCUUAACACAUGCAAGUCGAACGGAAAGGCCCUGCUUUUUGGGGUUUCUCGGUGGCGGACCGGGGAGUAAAAACUGAGUUACCCGCCCCUUACCUUGGGGUUACCUCCGGGAAACGGGGGCAAUAACCGCUUAGAACCUCUUGCGCCUGGUGGGGGUUGGGAAGAUUCGGGGGUUGGGGAUGGUCCUGCGGCUUUUCACCUUGUUGGUGGGGGUGUGGUUUACCAAGGCUUUGACGGGUAGCCGGCCUGAGACGGUGACCGGGCACAUUGGGACUGAGAUACGGCCCAGACUCCUACGGGAGGCAGCAGUGGGGAAUAUUGCACAAUGGGCGGAAGCCUGAUGCAGCAACGCCGCGUGCGGGAUGACGGCCUUCGGGUUGUAAACCGCUUUCGCCUGUGACGAAGCGUGAGUGACGGUAAUGGGUAAAGAAGCACCGGCUAACUACGUG